This 408-nucleotide ribosomal RNA is filed under the name uncultured bacterium. RNAcentral's name for it is "bacterial SSU rRNA". It matches the Rfam family "Bacterial small subunit ribosomal RNA", at positions 917 to 1349 of the family's 1533-position model. The record is from RNAcentral.
GGGCCCGCACAAGCGGUGGAGCAUGUGGUUUAAUUCGAUGAUACGCGAGGAACCUUACCAGGACUUAAAUGUAAGUUGCAUGAUUCAGAAAUGAAUCUUUCUUCGGACUACUUACAAGGUGCUGCAUGGUUGUCGUCAGCUCGUGCCGUGAGGUGUCAGGUUAAGUCCUAUAACGAGCGCAACCCCUAUCGUUAGUUGCCAUCAAGUAAAGUUGGGAACUCUAGCGAAACUGCCGGUGCAAACCGUGAGGAAGGUGGGGAUGACGUCAAAUCAUCACGGCCCUUACGUUCUGGGCUACACACGUGCUACAAUGGUAGUGACAAUGGGUUAAUCCCCAAAAACUAUCUCAGUUCGGAUUGUCGUCUGCAACUCGACGGCAUGAAGUCGGAAUCGCUAGUAAUCGCGUAA